This is a small nuclear RNA of Protopterus annectens (West African lungfish), 163 nucleotides long. RefSeq annotates it as U1 spliceosomal RNA. The transcript has a single exon. NCBI's taxonomy places the organism in Eukaryota, Metazoa, Chordata, Ceratodontiformes, Protopteridae. The record is from RefSeq and is a predicted model, not a curated record.
AUCACUACUUGGCAGGGGGGAUACAGUGAUCAAGAAGGUUUGCCCAGGGUGAGGCUCUUCCAUUGCACACUUCGAUUGGAUUGACCCCUUUGAUUUCCCUAAAUGUGGGAAAAUCAACUGCAGAAUUUGUGGUAGUGGAGGACUGCAUUUUUGCAGUUCGCAA